Gymnogyps californianus (California condor) is the source of this 665-nucleotide long non-coding RNA. RefSeq lists it as uncharacterized. The record is from RefSeq and is a predicted model, not a curated record. Lineage: Eukaryota; Metazoa; Chordata; Aves; Accipitriformes; Cathartidae. The transcript has 5 exons.
UUAGCUCUUCAAGUUUGCUGGAUCCAGAUAAGCAUGCAGUGUUUUGUGAUAAAUGCCUUCCCAAAGCUUUCCUGCCUAGAACCGCCAGAUGAAUAAGAAAAUACUUAGUGCCUUUCAACUUCCGGUCACAGAACUACUUUAUCAAAGCCCAAAUACUUAUGGAAUGUUUAAUAUUGACGUGCCAGAACUAUGCACAAGAAUUGUCAAUGGAGACUUUAUAUCUCUCCCAAGUAAACACUGCUCAUGUUCACCAGUGGCGCAAUAAUCCCCAAGCACAUUACACAAGAUUAAUUAGCUCCAAUGUAAGGUUGCUAAAUGAGCCAAUAUACUAUAUGGGAGCAAAAGACACCAAGACAAAACAGCAUCAUUGGUGGCCAGCCGAGGAGUCCCACAUGUAUCAUUAUACUCCACCGAAUUACAGAGCACCCAAAGAACUGAUCUAGUCUGCCUUGGUUUUGCCAGCUGGGUUCAGUCAGCAACAGCCUUCAUGUGGAAGAGUUCUACUUGCAAAUCCUAGAGCGCCCAAAGGUCUUUCAGAGAUUUUACAGGAACAGACCUCCUUUAGUCAUCAGUACAAUGCCAGAGACUGCUAAUGAACCCAUCCAAAGAAAGACCUAUUGCCUAGUGAAUUACUCUGAAGAGGAGACUCAGGCUGCAGGAUUACU